Long non-coding RNA from Rhineura floridana, 1605 nucleotides. RefSeq lists it as uncharacterized. Lineage: Eukaryota; Metazoa; Chordata; Lepidosauria; Squamata; Rhineuridae. The transcript is spliced from 3 exons. The record is from RefSeq and is a predicted model, not a curated record.
CAAUACUCCCAACUGUUUCUGCAAUCAUAAAAACCAAGCAUAACCUCGCCUGCUCAUGAUCCCUGUCUACCAAAGGCCUGGAAAAAAAAGAUCAGCUUGAAGAACCUCAAUCUGAAGCUGGAUAGAAAUGGAUCCAGACACUAGCACAUUUUCAUGGCGUACUGGACUGUUGGCUCCACUGGCUGAGUCUGUCUGAAAGAGUUUCCACAAGUGUCAGCAUAGAUGCCAGAACAUAUCAUAUGGAAAGCAAGACUGGAGCAAGAUGAAGGAGGUGUGAAAAUUGGAGGGAGAAAUAUCAAUAACUUAAGAUAUGCAGACGAUACCAUACUCUUAGCAGAAGCCAGUAAUGAUUUGAAACGAACGCUGAUGAAAGUUAAAGAGAAAAGCACAAAAGCAGGACUACAGCUGAACGUCAAAAAGACUAAAGUAAUGACAACAGAAGAUUUAUGUAACUUUAAAGGUGACAGUGAGGACAUUGAACUUGUCAAGAAUUAUCAGUACCUUGGCACAGUCAUUAACCCAAAUGGAGACAAUAGUCAAGAAAUCAGAAGAAGGCUAGGACUGGGGAGGGCCGCUAUGAGAGAACUAGAAAAGGUCCUCAACUGCAAACAUGUGUCACUGAACACUAAAGUCAGGAUCAUUCAGACCAUGGUAUUCCCGAUCUCUAUGUAUGGAUGUGAAGGUUGGACAAUGAAAAAAGCAGAUAAGAGAAAAAUCAAUUCAUUUGAAAUGUGGUGUUGGAGAAGAGCUUUGCACAUACCAUGGACUGCGAAAAAGACAAAUAAUUGGGUGUUGGAACAAAUUAAACCAGAACUGUCACUAGAAGCUAAAAUGAUGAAACUAUCAUACUUUGGACACAUCAUGAGAAGACAUGAUUCACUAGACGACAAUAAUGCUGGGAAAAAUAGAAGGGAGUAGAAAAAGAGGAAGGCCAAACAAGAGAUGAAUUGAUUCCAUAAAGGAAGCCACAGACCUAAACUUACAAGAUCUGAACAGGGUGGUUCAUGACAGAUGCUUUUGGAGGUCACUGAUUCAUAGGGUCGCCAUAAGUCAUAAUCGACUUGAAGGCACAUAACAACAACAACAUGUCCCCCCAACACCAUAUAUGCUUUGUGGAUCAGGCUGUACUCCAGGUGUCUUUGCUUUGCAAAAUAACAUUGUCAGCUGGAAGGACUUUCCAAGACACUGUAUUUGUCUCCCUCAGGAGAUCUGCAGCUGCUCUUUGCCCUUUGCUUUGUACUUUUUAAAAUAGUAUGCAAACAAAAUUUAUUUUUAAAAGCCUUUGGCUAUUGAGUAUUAUGUGCUGACCUGCUAUUUUUGUAGUAGAUGAGCAUGCUUUUAUUUUUAAAAGUGCCAUUGUUUUUGAUACAGGCUGAUGGGUUCUUGCAAACCUACCUUUUCUCUGGAAUUGUCAGCCUUUGUUUGCUCGCUCUUUGAGGAGCAUAGAUGAUGAUGAUGAUAUUAGCUAUCUGUAUACCACUUUUUUGUAUGUGGCCUUCCCAUGUUAUUCCAGACCUCAUUUGUAGUGAAUUGGGGUGUGUAAUUUGUAGUGUAAUUUGUAGUGAAUUGGGGUGUGCAAUUACACACCAGCCUACAUAAUGAAUA